GACGAACGCUGGCGGCGUGCUUAACACAUGCAAGUCGAACGAGUGGCGAACGGGUGAGUAACACGUGGGUGAUCUGCCUUGCACUGCGGGUUAAGCUUGGGAAACUGGGUCGAAUACCGGAUAGUGCAAGAUGAGCUCGCGGCCGAUCAGCUUGUUGGUGGGGUAAUGGCUACAUAGGCGCGACGGGUAGCCGGCCUGGGAGGGUGUACGGCCACAUUGGGACCGGGAAACGGACCAGACUGCGACGGGAGGCAGCUGUGGGGAAUAUUGCACAAUGGGCGGAAGGCUGAUGCAGCGGCGCCGCGGGGGGGAUGAAGGCCUUCGGGUUGUAAACUCCUUUUGGCAGGGACGCGGUACCUGAAUAUGAAGCACCGGCUAACUACGUGCCAGCAGCCGCGGUAAUAC
This 405-nucleotide ribosomal RNA is filed under the name uncultured bacterium. RNAcentral describes it as "partial 16S ribosomal RNA". It matches the Rfam family "Bacterial small subunit ribosomal RNA", at positions 28 to 526 of the family's 1533-position model. The record is from RNAcentral.